Molecule: long non-coding RNA, 371 nt
Filed under: Cricetulus griseus (Chinese hamster)
Lineage: Eukaryota; Metazoa; Chordata; Mammalia; Rodentia; Cricetidae
Description: lncRNA (ENSCGRG00015042433.1)
Source: RNAcentral
CUGAGACUCGGGUGGGAUUAUAUAUGAAAUAUUUAUAAGUGGUUCUUAAAAGAAUAUCUGUUUACCCAAGGGAGUGCCAUGGGGGACUUACUGCCUCCAGCAUACCUACAAAUAUUGAAAACUAUGAGUGCUAAUUUAUGCACGAGAAGAGCCACAAUGCAGUUUUACCAUUCACAUGCUAAUAAUACAGCAUGGUUGACCAUGAUAAUUCCAAGAACUUUUAUGUUUCUCCUUUGGUCUGAUGGCUACAGGAAUAUCCUGGAGGAACCAGAGCUUUUCCCAGCAGACCGAACUCAUGAACAAGCUUGCUCACCACUCCCUACUCUCCUUCAUACAGUGAAAGCUUCAUGUUGACAGAGGAAUGGCCUCAC